This 362-nucleotide ribosomal RNA is filed under the name Sylvilagus audubonii minor. RNAcentral's name for it is "partial 12S ribosomal RNA". It matches the Rfam family "Bacterial small subunit ribosomal RNA", at positions 769 to 1289 of the family's 1533-position model. The record is from RNAcentral. Lineage: Eukaryota; Metazoa; Chordata; Mammalia; Lagomorpha; Leporidae.
AAACUGGGAUUAGAUACCCCACUAUGCUUAGCCCUAAACCUGAAUAAUUUCAUAACAAAAUUACUCGCCAGAGAACUACAAGCCAGAGCUUAAAACUCAAAGGACUUGGCGGUGCUUUAUACCCGCCUAGAGGAGCCUGUUCUAUAAUCGAUAAACCCCGAUAAACCUUACCACUCUUUGCCAACUCAGCCUAUAUACCGCCAUCUUCAGCGAACCCUAAAAAGGAACAAAAGUAAGCUCAACUAUUCCCAUAAAAACGUUAGGUCAAGGUGUAGCCUAUAGAGUGGAAAGUAAUGGGCUACAUUUUCUUCUUCAGAACAUACGAAAGCCCUUAUGAAAUUCUAAGGGCCAAAGGAGGAUUU